Molecule: transfer RNA, 55 nt
Filed under: Dermatophagoides pteronyssinus (European house dust mite)
Lineage: Eukaryota; Metazoa; Arthropoda; Arachnida; Sarcoptiformes; Pyroglyphidae
Description: tRNA-Ile
Source: RNAcentral
UAGGCUUAACCUCUAAUAGGGUUUAUCUUGAUAGGGUAAAAUAAAACUAGCCUAU